Molecule: non-coding RNA, 84 nt
Organism: Drosophila willistoni
Lineage: Eukaryota; Metazoa; Arthropoda; Insecta; Diptera; Drosophilidae
Source: Rfam
AAACUUCCUGCAGAAACUGCUGCCAAUUGUUUGAUGAAUUGCGGUAAGAAGUCAAGGGUUCAUUGGCUGGGAUUAGUAGGUAAG